AUUGAACGCUGGCGGCAGGCCUAACACAUGCAAGUCGAGCGGUAACAUUUCAAAAGCUUGCUUUUGGAGAUGACGAGCGGCGGACGGGUGAGUAAUGCCUGGGAAAUUGCCCUGAUGUGGGGGAUAACCAUUGGAAACGAUGGCUAAUACCGCAUAGUAGCUUCGGCUUAAAGAGGGGGACCUUCGGGCCUCUCGCGUCAGGAUAUGCCCAGGUGGGAUUAGCUAGUUGGUGAGGUAAUGGCUCACCAAGGCGACGAUCCCUAGCUGGUCUGAGAGGAUGAUCAGCCACACUGGAACUGAGACACGGUCCAGACUCCUACGGGAGGCAGCAGUGGGGAAUAUUGCGCAAUGGGCGCAAGCCUGAUGCAGCCAUGCCGCGUAUGUGAAGAAGCCUUCGGGUUGUAAAGCACUUUCAGUCGUGAGGAANGGUGUGUAUUUAAUAGAUGCGCACUUUGACGUUAGCGACAGAAGAAGCACCGGCUAACUCCGUGC
RNAcentral lists this ribosomal RNA (492 nucleotides) under marine proteobacterium 'Tomales Bay mg15'. RNAcentral describes it as "bacterial SSU rRNA". It matches the Rfam family "Bacterial small subunit ribosomal RNA", at positions 30 to 508 of the family's 1533-position model. The record is from RNAcentral. Lineage: Bacteria; Pseudomonadati; Pseudomonadota; Gammaproteobacteria; Vibrionales; Vibrionaceae.